UGUCCCAGCACAGAAAGGCUGAUGCUGCCGCUGUCAGCUGGGCAAAACGGCUCAGCCUGGAGGGUUUAGAUGCGGGCAAGGCUGGUCCAAGCUGAACACUGGAAGGUGAACGGUAAUUGGCAUCUUCAGAGGGAUACUGGCUUUGUUUUACAGUGAGGCUGAUGGAGGCCAUGCCACCAGGAAGAGGCAGAAGUCUGGCAGAGAGCAGAUGCUUGGAAGAGCUAAAAGGUGCUGCAGUUCUACAGCACAUUUCAUGAAAGCACUUCUUUCUUCUUCCUUUCUUUUCACAUUUGAUCAGACACAGAUUUGGCCCAUGCCGCCUGCGUGCUUUUGUUCUGUAGAGCACCACUGGAAAGCUCAGUCCUGACCAUGACAAUAAGCAACAGUAAUAGCAAAGCACUGCUCAUGUUAAAGCACAGCAUCAGGGGUUGAAUUCAGGGGUGAUGUGAGGCCUUUCCAAAUCUCUCAUUGUGUACCCAGAUACUGGAAGAGACGUUUGUAAUAUAGAAGUUAUUGUAAGGGGAUUUUGGAGCAUAGAGAACCUUUACCAUGUGUCUCAUAUGUACAUAGUUAUUUUAAUUAAAUGUGGAUUAUUUUUUUAAGCUACAUCAGUAUCUGCUCUUAACACACAUGGCCUGUUGGAACUGACUGCCGCUAUUCAUUAUAUUGUUCUUCAGAACGUCAGGCUUACUAGCAAAAUUCCUUUCUUGCCUCCUUUUAAGUAUGUUUUCAGACUGAUGUGUUUUAUAUCUCACAUGGUUUUCCUGCCAUUCCUAUUACUUUUAAAUCUAACACUUGGCUGCAUGCCAUAGAACCUUUAAUCCAGCCCCAGGUGAGUUCUGGGGAGGAGAGGACACCUUGCAUCCCACAUGGUGCUGCAGUGGUGCUGGGACAGAGCAGUGGUGUGCCCUGUCUGAAGAAGGAGGCUAUGAGGUAACUGAUCUGCACUAGUGAAACAGACCCUGGCCGUAAAUACAGGAUGAAGAUGUUUCUGCUUGUGUGUGCGGGUUUGAUGUGUACUGCUGGCUGUGUCCUUGCUGCUUCACUUUGCAGAUGAACGUUGCUGUCGGUGCAUUCUCUCCUGGGACCUGGCAUGCUGCUCUGCAGAUCCGCACAUCUGCAGAUGGCUUGGGGAGGGAAAGGAAGGGAUUGUUUUAUACAGAGCUUCAGAAUGCAGUUUCUGGUUGCCAUCACUUUCAACACAUCUGACCGACUCAAUUUCCUGUCUUGAAUCAACUUUCAUUUCAUUAAGUCCCAAGUUUUCAUUUCUGUUGGUUGUCUGGGCGAGAUAUUUUCAUUCUGGAGCCUGAAAGAGCCCAAGUUUGGAAAGGAAUCAGUGUAGUCUCAGGAGAAGGCUACGUGCUCACAUGCUUAAUCUGCUCCAAAUGAUCAUGUCAAAAGUGGGGUUUGCAGUUUGGUCUUAUUUCUUUUCUGUUUCGUUAGUUUGUGCAGUUCCAGUUCCUUGAGCAAUACGAAGUGCUUGAAGAGCACCAUCCCACUGGUAUGGUUAACUCAUGGUUAAUCACAGUCUAACACUCAGCUGUAGUGGUUUGGGGUCACUGGAGCUUUAACAAGUCAAUGUUAUAUGUUUGACUUUAAUAUUUAGUGGCUUUUGUGUCCAGUGGUGGCCACUCUUCCUGAACUGAUGUCAUGACCAGAAACAUGUAACUCAAUGUGCAGAAUGUUUUAGCAUCCUCGCCCACUGCCAAGGUGCCUGUACAAAUUCCUGCAGAGACACUGAAGAUCAGGAUGUGUAUUGAAUGGAAGGAGCUGCAGAAGGGGAACAUGAAGGAGAGAACGCCAUGGAGGAGGAUGCACUUGUACCAGGGACAGAGAGGCUGCAUGAAUGGACCUGGCUCCGAACGCGUUCUGGAGUCGGCGUUUCUUAACAGGAUGUCCCUGUGCUGGAGGCUCAGCCGCACAGACCUGAGCUGGGUUUUCUGGAUGAACUCCACCGGUUCAGGAGUUUUCUGCUCUUUGUUUAAGCUAAUGAUAACUUUUGUUCCAUUUUUUGAGAGCUCGUGCUUGUCGCGCUGGUAGGGACUCGUGUGGCAAGUCUGAGGGCUUCGGUUUCCAUUGUAGAAUGAGUCGGAGUUCAGAGUCAGCUGCCAACAACAGCGAUGCGCAGAAUGCAGUUGGCAGAGGUUAAAUAUUUGGACUUGCAAAUGUU
Pezoporus occidentalis (night parrot) is the source of this 2170-nucleotide long non-coding RNA. RefSeq lists it as uncharacterized. NCBI's taxonomy places the organism in Eukaryota, Metazoa, Chordata, Aves, Psittaciformes, Psittacidae. The record is from RefSeq and is a predicted model, not a curated record. The transcript is spliced from 4 exons.